GGUAAAAGAUUAAUCGCCUAGAGAGGGGCUUGCGUCUGAUUAGCUAGUUGGUGAGGUAAGAGCCCACCAAGGCGACGAUCAGUAGCUGGUCUGAGAGGAUGAUCAGCCACACUGGGACUGAGACACGGCCCAGACUCCUACGGGAGGCAGCAGUGGGGAAUUUUCCGCAAUGGGCGAAAGCCUGACGGAGCAAGACCGCGUGGGGGAGGAAGGUUCUUGGAUUGUCAACCCCUUUUCUCAGGGAAGAACGCAAUGACGGUACCUGAGGAAAAAGCAUCGGCUAACUCCGUGCCAGCAGCCGCGGUAAUACGGGGGAUGCAAGCGUUAUCCGGAAUGAUUGGGCGUAAAGAGUCCGUAGGUAGUCAUCCAAGUCUGCUGUUAAAGAGCGAGGCUUAACCUCGUAAAGGCAGUGGAAACUGGAAGACUAGAGUGUAGUAGGGGCAGAGGGAAUUCCUGGUGUAGCGGUGAAAUGCGUAGAGAUCAGGAAGAACACCGGUGG
RNAcentral lists this ribosomal RNA (499 nucleotides) under Planktothrix rubescens 1NA15S1. RNAcentral's name for it is "bacterial SSU rRNA". It matches the Rfam family "Bacterial small subunit ribosomal RNA", at positions 199 to 715 of the family's 1533-position model. Lineage: Bacteria; Bacillati; Cyanobacteriota; Cyanophyceae; Oscillatoriales; Microcoleaceae. The record is from RNAcentral.